Molecule: long non-coding RNA, 1309 nt
Organism: Hypomesus transpacificus
Lineage: Eukaryota; Metazoa; Chordata; Actinopteri; Osmeriformes; Osmeridae
Exons: 3
Source: RefSeq, a predicted model, not a curated record
ACUCUGGGCUGCUGGUGCGGAUAUGAGAAAGAGAGACAAUAGAGCCCUUUCAGCCUAUAAAUCCAUGUAGGGGUCAACCUCAAAGAUCCAAGGCAGCUGACCCGGGAUCAGAAAGCAACCAGACCAACUCACCCCACAGUCAAACAGGAGAUGGAGUUGCCCAUCGAUCCACUCCUCGAUGUCCAGUCUCCGCUGCAGGUCUUUGCGGUUGUAUUUGACGGGACACCAGCAAUCCUUGAUCAACAGGAAGAGCCAAAAAUGAGUGUGCCCACAUUUGUCUGUUUUCACAUUUCCUUUUGACUGCUUUACAUAGCUUUUGUUAUUAACUUAAAGCCAUCAGCUGUUGUAAAGGUUUCGACUGUUGCAUAAGUACAUGUUCUAACCUUUAAAGUACCUACAGAUUUAUAUUAACAUAUUUGGAUGAUAUACAUCUUACAGUUAAUUUUGUCCGUUAGACAAUGAAGUCAUACAAUUAAAGCUACCAAUUGAAUCACAGUCCUGUUUUCUAGUAUGCAAAUAUAGUUGACUGUAACUUUAAAUGUAACAAUCCACACACCCCAAACCACUUAUUAUAUGUGCUCAUGCAGUCUGCAGCUUGAGAAGAGAAACGAUUUGUGGUAUAUUGUUGUCUCCUCUCAGGGCGGAAACCAACUUCACCCCCACAGUGAAAUUAAUUAAAGACAUAAUCAGAUCAUGCAUUCAUUUACGCUUGAUUUGUACCCAUAUUACAUAAUAACUGACAAAGGUUGGCACCCAAUUCACAGUUCAACAGUGUACUCAUAUUUGAUUUUAACUGUCUACUUUUAAAAGUAAAAUCUGUUCUACGUGAAUUUAUCAAAUAUGUAUAAAGCAAGACACUUAAACCAUGACUCUUAGCUGUGAAGAUUUUAGGAACAUUUAUCUAGAGCAUUCAGCCAUUAUUAAAACAUACAGACUUACAGACUGUUGUCUAAAUGUCGUACAGUACAACCUAAACAAUCCUGAAAUGUUGAUGAUUCUCUUGCACACAGCCCACCUCACAUGCAGCAGCCUUCAUCUUGCUCUGUUUUCUUUGUAUUUGUUAACUACUUUAGUAGAAGAAGCAAGUUGAUACCCAGGCGUACGUAGUGUAACGUAAGUGUAUAUUGUAUAACCCGCCCUUCUCAAAUUUGACACCGGACAGCGGUUGACCAGAAAGGUCAAAGGAUUACAGGCCGAGACAAUUUGUCCACUGAUAAAGAAACAACAGCUGUGAUGAAUCAGAUUAGAAACGGAAAUGAGGUAGACAUAAUGCACACAUUUGUAAAUCUGAUUUGAAACUGAAUUUUGU